AGUACUCAUCCGCGAGGGGGGGGGAAUCAACCGCWGGGAUCGUUUACUUUGAGGAAAUUAGAGUGUUCAAAGCAGGCGUAACUCGCCUCCGAAUACGUUAGCAUGGGAUAAUGGAAUACGACUUCGGUCUUGUUUCGUUGGUUUCGCUUGGCUGAAGUAAUGAUUGAUAGGGACAGUUGGGGGCAUUAGUAUUUAGUUGUCAGAGGUGAAAUUCUAGGAUUUACUAAAGACUGACCAAUGCGAAAGCAUUUGCCAAGGAUGUUUUCAUUAAUCAAGAACGAAAGUAGGGGGAUCGAAGACGAUCAGAUACCGUCGUAGUCUCUACCGUAAACUAUGCCGACCAGGGAUCCGGAGAGUUUGCAUGGAUGACUCCCCGGGCACCUUGUGAGUUUUCAUAAGUGUUUGGGUUUUGGGGGGAGUAUGGUSGCAAGGCUGAAACUAAAGAAUGACGAAGCCGAAGCUGCCGGAAGUA
This 472-nucleotide ribosomal RNA is filed under the name uncultured amoeba. Its description in RNAcentral is "SSU rRNA". It matches the Rfam family "Eukaryotic small subunit ribosomal RNA", at positions 720 to 1189 of the family's 1831-position model. The record is from RNAcentral.